This 71-nucleotide transfer RNA is filed under the name Yuukianura szeptyckii. Its description in RNAcentral is "tRNA-Glu". Lineage: Eukaryota; Metazoa; Arthropoda; Collembola; Poduromorpha; Neanuridae. The record is from RNAcentral.
UCUUUUGUAGUUUAAAUUUUAAAAUCUUGCUUUUUCAUAGCAAAUAUACUUUAUUUUAAGUCUUAAGUGAG